Molecule: ribosomal RNA, 422 nt
Filed under: uncultured bacterium
Lineage: Bacteria
Description: bacterial SSU rRNA
Rfam family: Bacterial small subunit ribosomal RNA
Source: RNAcentral
UGAGGGAUAUUGGUCAAUGGGCGCAAGCCUGAACCAGCCAUGCCGCGUGCAGGAUGAAGCAUCUAUGGUGUGUAAACUGCUUUUGUACGGGAAGAAACCACCCCUCGUGAGGAGUAUUGACGGUACCGUAAGAAUAAGGAUCGGCUAACUCCGUGCCAGCAGCCGCGGUAAUACGGAGGAUCCAAGCGUUAUCCGGAAUCAUUGGGUUUAAAGGGUCCGUAGGCGGUUUAGUAAGUCAGUGGUGAAAGCCCAUCGCUCAACGAUGGAACGGCCAUUGAUACUGUUAGACUUGAAUUACAAGGAAGUAACUAGAAUAUGUAGUGUAGCGGUGAAAUGCUUAGAUAUUACAUGGAAUACCAAUUGCGAAGGCAGGUUACUACUUGUGGAUUGACGCUGAUGGACGAAAGCGUGGGGAGCGAACA